This 468-nucleotide ribosomal RNA is filed under the name uncultured bacterium. RNAcentral's name for it is "partial 16S ribosomal RNA". It matches the Rfam family "Bacterial small subunit ribosomal RNA", at positions 28 to 507 of the family's 1533-position model. The record is from RNAcentral.
GACGAACGCUGGCGGCGUGCUUAACACAUGCAAGUCGAACGGAAAGGCCCUGCUUUUGUGGGGUGCUCGAGUGGCGAACGGGUGAGUAACACGUGAGUAACCUGCCCUUGACUUUGGGAUAACUUCAGGAAACUGGGGCUAAUACCGGAUAGGAGCUCCUGCUGCAUGGUGGGGGUUGGAAAGUUUCGGCGGUUGGGGAUGGACUCGCGGCUUACCAGCUUGUUGGUGGGGUAGUGGCUUACCAAGGCUUUGACGGGUAGCCGGCCUGAGAGGGUGACCGGCCACAUUGGGCCUGAGAUACGGCCCAGACUCCUACGGGAGGCAGCAGUGGGGAAUAUUGCACAAUGGGCGGAAGCCUGAUGCAGCAACGCCGCGUGCGGGAUGACGGCCUUCGGGUUGUAAACCGCUUUCGCCUGUGACGAAGCGUGAGUGACGGUAAUGGGUAAAGAAGCACCGGCUAACUACGUG